RNAcentral lists this ribosomal RNA (462 nucleotides) under uncultured bacterium. RNAcentral describes it as "bacterial SSU rRNA". It matches the Rfam family "Bacterial small subunit ribosomal RNA", at positions 28 to 491 of the family's 1533-position model. The record is from RNAcentral.
GAUGAACGCUGGCGGCGUGCUUAACACAUGCAAGUCGAACGGGAAACAUUUUAAUGAAGCUUCGGCAGAUUUAGCUUGUUUCUAGUGGCGGACGGGUGAGUAACGCGUGGGUAACCUGCCUCACACUGGGGGAUAACAGUCAGAAAUGACUGCUAAUACCGCAUAAACGCACGGGAUUGCAUGAUCCAGUGUGAAAAACUCCGGUGGUGUGAGAUGGACCCGCGUUGGAUUAGCCAGUUGGCAGGGUAACGGCCUACCAAAGCGACGAUCCAUAGCCGGCCUGAGAGGGUGGACGGCCACAUUGGGACUGAGACACGGCCCAGACUCCUACGGGAGGCAGCAGUGGGGAAUAUUGCACAAUGGGGGAAACCCUGAUGCAGCGACGCCGCGUGAAGGAAGAAGUAUCUCGGUAUGUAAACUUCUAUCAGCAGGGAAGAAAAUGACGGUACCUGACUAAGAAGC